Long non-coding RNA from Drosophila subobscura, 1251 nucleotides. RefSeq lists it as uncharacterized. Lineage: Eukaryota; Metazoa; Arthropoda; Insecta; Diptera; Drosophilidae. The transcript is spliced from 6 exons. The record is from RefSeq and is a predicted model, not a curated record.
CUUUACUCCCCGUAUCAUGUUUUAGCAUAAGUAAAUAUUUCAUUUAAAUUCCAAAUCCAUCCAAAAUGUCUGAAAUUGUGCAAUUUCUAAGCUACCAAAUAGCCAGAAAUUAUCGGCAGCCACUGAAAAUAUUCAAUCAAUAUCAACCAGCAGUUAGUCGAUUGUCCUUCCAAUUCUCUUAUCUAGGCAGCGUACGUUCCAAUAUUCCCUAUAUGCAAAAGAAACAACGCCAUCAGCUGGACACCAUACGCAAGAGAAUCAUUGAGGAACGCAAAUUAAUCAAGUCAAAAAUUGAACAAAUCGAAAAGCACAUCAAGAAUUUGGAGAGCAUCAGCGGCAAGCCCGAAAAGAAGCCAUAGAGAAAAAGUCCAUCAAGUCAGCACUGAGAAAAUUGUUUUGCUGCCAGCCCGAAAUUCUUUUCAAAUUUCAAAAUUUUAAGCAAUUAUUUUUAAGCAUGUUUGGCACAGUCUUCCGAGCCAUAAGCCUGCUGAGAGCCAGGGAUGUGCUGGCCACAGACGGACUAAGACGCACCUUCCGCGACAAAGGCAGGGGCGAGGAGAAAAAUCAUUUUAAGAGAAUUGAAAUGGAACAACUAAAGAAAAUUCGACAAGAUAAAAUCAAAGAAAUGCUGGCGCAGAUCGAGGACUUAAAGAACGAAAUCAAAGCCGUUGAGCGUGGCUUUUCCGAGGAUUCAAAGUCUGUGAAGAAAUCGCUGCUGAAGCAAAUUGAGCAGCUCGAAAAUUCCAUUGAGAGAAUCAAAAGGUCUAUGGGUGGAGAGGAUUGAUUUACUCGAUGCCAGUCAAAGUAGGCGAUGCCAUUCCAAAACUCAUUCACAUUUCAGUCAGCCUCUGGCAUGCCCAAGUAACUUUCCAAAUUUUUUGAAAUAAAAUUUAGUUUUCAACUCCCGUUUUUUUCAACGAAAUUUUUUAGUUAUGCAAAAAGUACUUUUCCGACUUGCAACUGUGCCUAAAGUUUGGUUUACACAGAGCUGCAAAAAUGCCAGCAAUUUCCUGUACGAAAGAGCCCGAGCUGGCGAGAAUGUGCACUUUCUAAAAAUUCAACGCGAGCAACUGAUGAAGCUGCGCUCCAAGCUGUUGCAGCAACAGAAUGAGGUGCAGUCAGAGCUUGGCAAAGUGGACCAGCAAAUGGUCUCAAUGGCCAAGGUAACAACUGGACAAAGUCGCAAGCAAUAGCAGGGGAAAAGCCUUAUAAACUCAUAUUUAAUCCGAUAUAAAUUACUUUAAGCUCAAC